RNAcentral lists this long non-coding RNA (658 nucleotides) under Equus caballus (horse). RNAcentral's name for it is "lncRNA (ENSECAG00000051809.1)". The record is from RNAcentral. Lineage: Eukaryota; Metazoa; Chordata; Mammalia; Perissodactyla; Equidae.
CAGACCAUUUGUUUCACCAAGGACAACUGGGAAAGCGGGAGUAAGUAUGAAAUUUCUUGAAGGCAUCAGAGAGCUAACAUGAGAGUGAAAAACUACUGGGUCAAGAUCUCAUGGAGAGCAGAAGCUCAGAUUCAUGGUUUGAGUCCUGGAGGAGCUGCAGUAGACCUGGCCGCCGUGCGCUUCUGCUCCCUAAUCUCUCUAAUGGGUCUAGAAGGCCUACUGCUGUGUUAUGGAGAAAGAAGCAAAAUCGUGCAAGGAAAGCACUUCGUAAACGCAGAAGUGCUAGACGUUAUUAGUUCAUUUCUUCAGAGAGCCUCCGCAGGACCACUGACGGAAGGAUUUGCUAAACAAAUGAAAGCUGUGGCCACCUGGACUGGAAGGAAGGUUUCGCCCAGAAAACAACUCUCCUGCGGUUCAAAGGAAACAUUUGACCUCAUCGUAGAUUAUUCUUAAUCACUUCUUCUCCCAGGUCACCCAAGAACCCCUGCCUGGCAAGGGCCACACUUUGCCACGGGUGUGUUGGAAUGUCCCAUAGUGCACAGCUUUAGAAACGGGAUGCUGCUGGCCUUUCCCAGAACCUCAGCCGGGAACCCCACCCCAGAGCCUUCCAUGCAUCAGGGCCUUUUGGAUUCGAACCGGUCCUGAGCCUGGUUUCCUG